CGGAUCAGGUAGGAAUACCCGCUGAACUUAAGCAUAUCAAUAAGCGGAGGA
This 51-nucleotide ribosomal RNA is filed under the name Colletotrichum siamense. RNAcentral's name for it is "partial 28S ribosomal RNA". Lineage: Eukaryota; Fungi; Ascomycota; Sordariomycetes; Glomerellales; Glomerellaceae. The record is from RNAcentral.